Molecule: transfer RNA, 66 nt
Filed under: Ovis aries (sheep)
Lineage: Eukaryota; Metazoa; Chordata; Mammalia; Artiodactyla; Bovidae
Also listed under: 1 other name
Rfam family: tRNA
About the family: Transfer RNA (tRNA) molecules are approximately 80 nucleotides in length. Their secondary structure includes four short double-helical elements and three loops (D, anti-codon, and T loops).
Source: Rfam by way of RNAcentral
UCCCAGGUGGCUCAGUGGUAAAGAAUCUGCCUCCAAUGCAGGACACGAGGGUUCCAUCCCUGGGAU